Molecule: small nucleolar RNA, 82 nt
Organism: Drosophila mauritiana
Lineage: Eukaryota; Metazoa; Arthropoda; Insecta; Diptera; Drosophilidae
Product: small nucleolar RNA Me28S-Cm2645
Exons: 1
Source: RefSeq, a predicted model, not a curated record
UAUUUUGUGAUGAAAUCGUUAGAUAGGAUAGACAGACUUCUGAUGUCUGUGACUGAUUUAUCUCGAUAGUAGAUCUGAUUUU